GUCAGAACGGUAGGGUCUCCAAGACGGGAUCAGCGUCUUUAGAAGAAGAGGAAGAGAGACCAGAGUUCUCUCUCCAUCUCUGCCACGUGAAGACACAGAAAGAAGGUGGCUGUCUGUAAGCAAGGAAGAGCCUCACCAGGAAUCAGCACCUUGAUCUUGGACUUAACCUCCAGAACCGGGAGAAGUAAAUGACUGUUGUUUCAGCCACCUGGGGUUAUGGUGUUUUCCUAGAGCAGCCCACAAUGACCAACACACUCACUCAAAAUACCCCUCUGGUGUGGGCAUAGUUCAGCAGAACUGUGCUCCAUCCUCACGUAAAGAAUGUGUGUGAUCAGACCACUGAAGUACUUAACAACUAUGAAAGAGAAAGAAUUUUAAAAUGUACAGAUCUAGAUACUUCCAUUACUAAGAAACACAGCUUAAUUUCAUCUCCUAUUCACGGAUUUAUAAACCGGGAUUCUUCUCACAACCUGUGGAAACUAUGACAAAAACCUCUCAGAGGAGAUGUGAGAAAGAAGGAGAGAGGAGAAUCAAAUAAGAAGAGUCCGUUUUAUAAAGGUUAGAGAGUUCUCUUCUAAUAACACAAACCUAGUUAGAAUGAAUGUUGGCAGAAAUGUCCCAUCAAUCAAGUGAAUACCCACUAAUCCUUGAGACCUAACUCAAAUGCUGUAUCCUGCAAGCUCGCGCCACUCCUUCCCAGGCAGUCAGACAUAAUUUACUCUGUGCUCCCCUUUCUCCAUUUCAGCACUGAGCAAAAGGCACUAUAUUUGUUUAUGGAUCUGUCUCUUCCACCAGACUCUGAAAUCAUCUAGGGCAGCGUGCUACUCUCUCCAGCACCUAGAAUGGUGACUGGCAUGAAGCAGUUUGAUGAAGUGGAGCCACUUUGCUUUGCUGAAUGGAAGUGGAACUCUCUGUGCUAUCUCACAGCUUUUCUGUAAAUCUGAAAUUAUUCCAAAAUAAACAGGUUUUUUUAAAAAGGCACCAGGAGCCACUGUAUUAUCAGUAAUAAUCACACCUGCCUUACAUGUCAGGCAAGAAGACACCAGCUACGAGAGCCUUGCCUCACUGUUUUUCAGACGUGCCAGCAGGAGUUAGUAACCUUACAUGUAGCAAACUUGAAAAACAAUGAGUAACAAACACUUGAGAUUUUAAUCCUGACCUUAACUUUGGUCAAAUUGUUUAACCUUAGUCUCAGUUUGUGAAAAGGGAAUAGUAAUUCCGACCCUACAAGGCUGCCGUGCUACAUGAACUAUACAGAGUAUAUAUCAAAUGAGCUCUCCUAACGAUGUUCUAAUCAAUACGUGUUAGCGACCUUCCCCAGGCAGUGCUGCAACUGGACUAACGCUUCACCGCAAACCAGGUGCAUACUGUAACUAGUUCCACCUGGCACGGACUGUAAAGUUCUAAUUCAAUCACCAUUCGGGCUAUGAUUACCUAUAAAAUAAUCCUACAUAUGUGUCCGUAGAUGCCAACCCUGCCAAGAUGUCCUAGUCCAGAACUCCCCAACGAAAUACACAGGCUAUUCAAAACUCAACGCAACCGACAGGGGUCAGCAGCUCCUGGCACCCAUCUCCCCCGGACUAAGCUCCAGAAAGCGGGCACGCACACUCAGGCCGUGCUCGCCGACUAGGAAGAGGUGGGUAUCUCCAGGGACGAUCCCGCUGCUGCCAACAGCGGCGUGCGGCAGCCUGGGGUCUCCCGCUAGUUGCUGAGAGCACCUGGACCCUGAGUGGCCAAGACCGUCCACUUCCAGGCGUGGUGCUCUCGGGCACCAGCAUCCUCAACCGAAGGAGGCGCGGGUGGCAGCAGCGCAUCGGUGCGCUGGGGAAAACAGGGAGUGGGCGGGAGGCCACGGACACCACCGCCCGGACUAUAAACCGACACCGGGCAGCUCCCCGCCUGGGCGCGUGCGUUCCAGCCGGAGAAGCCGGGCGGUCGGAAGCACCCCGACUGCGUGCAGGGGUGCGUGGGGCGCCCUGGGCGCCGCUCCCGCGCUGACAAGCCGGGCCCACGGGGAAACGGAGGCCCGCCGGGUCCCCGGGAGCCCGGCUCGCGGAGCGAGCAGAUGAGAAAAAUGAAGCUCAAAGAAGUGACGUAUUAUUCCCUAGUUCUGCCUGUACUGGCUAACUUUGGUGACUGUUUGCCUCUCUGAUGUCCCACGCUUACUCUCCCACACACACUGCUCCUGCUAAUCUGGCCCUGUGGCCAGGAUGUAGUCCCAGUAAAGAGACUCCCUGGCAAGAGGGAGAUGCUGCACAGACAAGGCGCCAGAACUUCACUCCCACAUCGUCUCCAUAUCAAAGCAGCAUUUUCAAACACACAGAGAAUGUUGAGAAACAUUGAAUAUGUCUGUUUGUCUCAUAUCAAAGAGGCCUAUCAGGAGUUACAGUUUAGUUAGCCUAAAUAUAAAACCUGUUUUAAUGAGAACUAUAUACAUUUUAUGUCUAAUUAGCCAAUUAAUUUGCUAUUCCUGCAUGAAAUUUACAAAACUUGCUAAGAGAAAAAUUUAGAAUGGAGAUGCCUAAUAGGAACUGAAUUAAACUAUCGUGGUUUAAACACAAAGUGGUCUGGGGUGGUGAACAUGAAGUAAUCUACACAGAAUUUGAAGUAUAUUACGAUGUACACCUGAAAUUUAUACAAUGUUAUAAACCAAUGCUACUGCAAUUAAAAAAAAUUUUUUUUUAAACAAAGUGUUACAGCUUUUUUAACUCUAUGAAUGCACCAGUCGGGAAAGACUAAGCAACGCUGUGUUAACAACCAUCCCAGAUCUCACCCAAGUCUAUUCCCACCUCAAGUCUAGCACGAUAUUGCUGGACACUGCACUCCCUGACACCCCCCCAUGGGACCCGCGCUCUUGGAACCUCCACUUUGUGGGUUAGAGGGAGAGAGGACACUGACUCUCGUGCGGGUUCUGAAAGCUUCAGCACAGAAGUAAAAUAGUUCUCACCUAUUCACAUUUCAUUGGCCAAGGCAACUCACGUGGCCACACCCAACUUCAGAGGGGUGAGAAGUUCGCUCCUGGCAUGUGCCAUGGAGAAAUGAAAACGUGAAGGGAUUAAUGACAGUCUAUAGAGAAAAGCAGACUGAAUCAAAUAGACACGAUGUCUUGUUUCAUCAUUUACUACUAUUUUGUUAACCUUCUGAACCUGAGUUUUUCUUAUCAGUAAAAUGGUAAUAAUAAUUGUGAUAAUAUCUACUUCAAAGACUGUAAAUUACAAGAUCAUUAAUGUAGAAAAACAUUUUUCCCUCAUGCACUGCUGAUGGGAAUGCAAACUGAUGCAGCCACUAUGGAAAAGAGUAUGAAGAUUUCUCAAAAAAUUAAAAAUAGACAUGCCAUAUGACCCAGCCAUCCCACUACUGGGUAUCUAUCCUAAGAAC
This 3378-nucleotide long non-coding RNA is filed under the name Equus asinus (donkey). Its description in RNAcentral is "lncRNA (ENSEASG00005024879.1)". The record is from RNAcentral. Lineage: Eukaryota; Metazoa; Chordata; Mammalia; Perissodactyla; Equidae.